This 260-nucleotide ribosomal RNA is filed under the name uncultured bacterium. Its description in RNAcentral is "partial 16S ribosomal RNA". It matches the Rfam family "Bacterial small subunit ribosomal RNA", at positions 515 to 774 of the family's 1533-position model. The record is from RNAcentral.
CUGCGGUAAUACGUAGGGGGCGAGCGUUAUCCGGAAUUACUGGGUGUAAAGGGUAUGUAGGCGGCCCUUCAAGUCGCGUGUCAAAGUCCAGUGCUCAAAGCUGGGUGUGCGCGCGAUACUGACGGGCUUGAGGGCUGGAGAGGUGAGCGGAAUUCCCGGUGUAGUGGUAAAAUACGUAGAGAUCGGGAGGAACACCAGCGGCGCAGGCGGCUCACUAGACAGUUUCUGACGCUAAGAUACGAAAGCGUGGGGAGCAAACA